UACGUAGGGGGCAAGCGUUGUCCGGAAUCAUUGGGCGUAAAGAGCGUGUAGGCGGCCCGGUAAGUCCGCUGUGAAAGUCCAGGGCUCAACCCUGGGAUGCCGGUGGAUACUGUCGGGCUCGAGUCCGGAAGAGGAGUGUGGAAUUCCUGGUGUAGCGGUGAAAUGCGCAGAUAUCAGGAGGAACACCAAUGGCGAAGGCAGCACUCUGGGACGUGACUGACGCUGAGACGCGAAAGCGUGGGGAGCAAACAGGAUUAGAUACCCUGGUAGUCCACGCUGUAAACGAUGGGCACUAGGUGUGGGGGGUGUCGACUCCCUCCGUGCCGAAGCUAACGCAUUAAGUGCCCCGCCUGGGGAGUACGGCCGCAAGGCUAAA
This 376-nucleotide ribosomal RNA is filed under the name uncultured bacterium. RNAcentral's name for it is "bacterial SSU rRNA". It matches the Rfam family "Bacterial small subunit ribosomal RNA", at positions 524 to 898 of the family's 1533-position model. The record is from RNAcentral.